GACAGCAGUCGCCACGGGAAUACGUAGGGUGCAAGCGUUAAUCGGAAUUACUGGGCGUAAAGCGUGCGCAGGCGGUUAUAUAAGACAGAUGUGAAAUCCCCGGGCUCAACCUGGGAACUGCAUUUGUGACUGUAUAGCUAGAGUACGGCAGAGGGGGAUGGAAUUCCGCGUGUAGCAGUGAAAUGCGUAGAUAUGCGGAGGAACACCGAUAGCGAAGGCAAUCCCCUGGGCCUGUACUGACGCUCAUGCACGAAAGCGUGGGGAGCAAACAGGAUUAGAUACCCCCGUAGUCCCUGUCUCUUAUAC
RNAcentral lists this ribosomal RNA (306 nucleotides) under uncultured bacterium. RNAcentral's name for it is "partial 16S ribosomal RNA". It matches the Rfam family "Bacterial small subunit ribosomal RNA", at positions 507 to 807 of the family's 1533-position model. The record is from RNAcentral.